UUUGAGUCUUUUCACAAAUAAUUGGGAAAGGAAAUGAUGUUUUGAGUCAAAUUGAGAAUUUGUUACAAAGAAAUUGAUGCAACGACUGAAUGUAACUGGUAGAAGGUUGUUUUGGUAACUUGAGAAGGCAAGCAACCUCUUGAAAUCCUGCAUCCUGCUUUACAUAGGAAGAAUUCUCACUUAAACUACUACUCAUCUGCUUCAUCUCCUUGUUGUGAAGCUUUGGUUUUGAUAGAGCCCAUUGCAUUGCCCAAAUCGCCAAUGGCCUCAUAUAGCACAGUGAUCUAUAGUGAUCAUAUGUGUUCCACCCUUCCGGUGUUUGGAAACCAAACCCAAGACCUUUAUCUGACCAAGCUGUCGAGUGUAUUCCACUUGCAGUUUGAAAUGCUAUGUCCACCAAGCCCUCUUGUAUCAUAUUAGCAGCAAGAGAAUACGUAACUCCUGUCCAUAUUUCUCUUGACUGCAGAGCUGACAUAUCAGGUUUUCCACUUGGUAGUAUCCCAUUUACAGCCCCACACAUCCCUCCCUUGUGCUUUAACACAUUGAAAUCGUAGAUUUUCUUCAGAGCAGUUCUUAUCUUCUCUUCAUCAGCAAUUGGUGAAAGACCACUCGCUCUAGCAUACCAUUGACCAGCCAACUGAUCAGCAUGAAUUGAAG
RNAcentral lists this unclassified non-coding RNA (657 nucleotides) under Hevea brasiliensis (rubber tree). The record is from RNAcentral. Lineage: Eukaryota; Viridiplantae; Streptophyta; Magnoliopsida; Malpighiales; Euphorbiaceae.